This 598-nucleotide ribosomal RNA is filed under the name uncultured bacterium. Its description in RNAcentral is "bacterial SSU rRNA". It matches the Rfam family "Bacterial small subunit ribosomal RNA", at positions 202 to 801 of the family's 1533-position model. The record is from RNAcentral.
UAAAGAAUUUCGGUCAUCGAUGGGGAUGCGUUCCAUUAGCUUGUUGGCGGGGUAACGGCCCACCAAGGCAUCGAUGGAUAGGGGUUCUGAGAGGAAGGUCCCCCACAUUGGAACUGAGACACGGUCCAAACUCCUACGGGAGGCAGCAGUGAGGAAUAUUGGUCAAUGGGCGCUAGCCUGAACCAGCCAAGUAGCGUGAAGGAUGACUGCCCUAUGGGUUGUAAACUUCUUUUAUAUGGGAAUAAAGUGCAGUAUGUAUACUGCUUUGCAUGUACCUUAUGAAUAAGGAUCGGCUAACUCCGUGCCAGCAGCCGCGGUAAUACGGAGGAUCCGAGCGUUAUCCGGAUUUAUUGGGUUUAAAGGGAGCGUAGGCGGGUUGUUAAGUCAGUUGUGAAAGUUUGCGGCUUAACCGUAAAAUUGCAGUUGAUACUGGCAUCCUUGAGUACAGUAGAGGUAGGCGGAAUUCGUGGUGUAGCGGUGAAAUGCUUAGAUAUCACGAAGAACUCCGAUUGCGAAGGCAGCCUGCUGGACUGUAACUGACGCUGAUGCUCGAAAGUGUGGGUAUCAAACAGGAUUAGAUACCCUGGUAGUCCACACA